This 221-nucleotide ribosomal RNA is filed under the name uncultured bacterium. RNAcentral's name for it is "partial 16S ribosomal RNA". It matches the Rfam family "Bacterial small subunit ribosomal RNA", at positions 111 to 334 of the family's 1533-position model. The record is from RNAcentral.
UAAUGUAUGGGGAUCUGCCCGAUAGAGGGGGAUAACUACUGGAAACGGUGGCUAAUACCGCAUAAUGUCUACGGACCAAAGCAGGGGCUCUUUCGGACCUUGCACUAUCGGAUGAACCCAUAUGGGAUUAGCUAGUAGGUGGGGUAAAGGCUCACCUAGGCGACGAUCUCUAGCUGGUCUGAGAGGAUGAUCAGCCACACUGGGACUGAGACACGGCCCAG